Long non-coding RNA from Pogoniulus pusillus (Red-fronted tinkerbird), 670 nucleotides. RefSeq lists it as uncharacterized. The record is from RefSeq and is a predicted model, not a curated record. Lineage: Eukaryota; Metazoa; Chordata; Aves; Piciformes; Lybiidae. The transcript has 3 exons.
CUACCCAGGGUUUGUCUCACCACUGCCCGGAGACAGCUACAGUCCAGGAAUCUCUGCUCAGAGGAUCACAUCCCUGAGUCUGAUCAGAGGAAAACCAACAACAGUAGAGUCAUGCAAAGCCUUGUUGGAGCCCAGGGUGGAUGUCCCAGCCUGGAGACACUGUCCCGUGAAGCCCUGAAGGGCAAACUCUUCUCCAGCUUCCCAGCACAGUUCAUCUUUCAGUGCAACGAAGGAGAAAGGACAAUAUUUUGACUUCUUCUUUCCCUUGAGCUUCAGAUCCAGCACAAGCAGUGUCUCAUGGAUGAGUGUCUCGGGGCUGGGAGUUCCUGGAGGAGCUGAAUGGGAAGGAGGAGCCUGGGGAUCCUUGGCAUGCAACUCUCUCCUGCUGCUCUUCAGAGGUGCCAAGAGCCUGUGCUGGCCUUCAUCCUCUCCUGCUCCUUCUUCCUCCUGAUUUAUUUAGAUCUGUGGAAGCCCUGAAGGCUACCUGGCAGGGUGAAGGGAUAGGGAGAUGCUUCUGGUGGUGCCAGGAAGAUCUGCAAGGAGAAGCAUUUGCCUGGGAUCACAGGAUGGUGGGAGCUGGAAGACAGGACUUCUGGCUCUCUGCAGCUCCCCGAAAGGAGGCUGCAGCCAGGUGAGGGUUGGCUUCUUCUCCCAAGGAACAAGUGACAGG